This 99-nucleotide ribosomal RNA is filed under the name Pteropus alecto (black flying fox). Lineage: Eukaryota; Metazoa; Chordata; Mammalia; Chiroptera; Pteropodidae. The record is from RNAcentral.
GCCAUUAGAAAUACUUCAUGGAUCUCAGAAGCUAAGCAGGGUCAGGCCUGGUUAGUACUUGGAUGGGAGACCACCUAGGAAGAACAGGUGCUAUAGGCA